GUCUACGGCCACACCAUCCUGAACACGCCUCAUCUCAUCUUGGAAGCUAAGCAGGGUCGGGCCUGGUUAGUACUUGGAUGGGAGAGAGGGAGAGAGAAUGGGGAGGGGAUGCUU
Molecule: ribosomal RNA, 114 nt
Filed under: Erinaceus europaeus (western European hedgehog)
Lineage: Eukaryota; Metazoa; Chordata; Mammalia; Eulipotyphla; Erinaceidae
Source: RNAcentral